UACGUAGGGUGCAAGCGUUGUCCGGAAUCACUGGGUGUAAAGGGUCCGCAGGCGGGCAAGCAAGUCGGUGGUGAAAUCUCGUAGCUCAACUACGAAACUGCCCUCGAUACUGCUUGUCUUGAGUUCGAGAGAGGAUGAUGGAAUUCAUGGUGUAGCGGUGAAAUGCGUAGAGAUCAUGAAGAACACCGGUAGCGAAGGCGGUCAUCUGGCUCGAUACUGACGCUCAGGGACGAAAGCGUGGGGAGCAAACAGG
Molecule: ribosomal RNA, 253 nt
Filed under: uncultured bacterium
Lineage: Bacteria
Description: partial 16S ribosomal RNA
Rfam family: Bacterial small subunit ribosomal RNA
Source: RNAcentral